Molecule: ribosomal RNA, 872 nt
Filed under: uncultured archaeon
Lineage: Archaea
Description: bacterial SSU rRNA
Rfam family: Archaeal small subunit ribosomal RNA
Source: RNAcentral
CUCCGGGUUGAUCCCGCCCGGACCCGACUGCUAUCAGAGUGGGACUAGAGCCAUGCGAGUCAACGUAGCAAUACGUGGCAUACGGCUCAGUAACACGUAGUCAACAUGCCCAGGGGACGAGGAUAACCUCGGGAAACUGAGGAUAAACCUCGAUAGGCCAUGAUUUCUGGAAUGAUUCUUGGCUCAAACCUAUAUGGCCCCUGGAUUGGACUGCGGCCGAUCAGGCUGUUGGUGAGGUAAUGGCCCACCAAACCUAUUACCGGUACGGGCUCUGAGAGGAGGAGCCCGGAGAUGGGCACUGAGACAAGGGCCCAGGCCCUAUGGGGCGCAGCAGGCGCGAAACCUCUGCAAUAGGCGAAAGCUUGACAGGGUUACUCUGAGUGAUUUCCGCUAAGGGAAUCUUUUGGCACCUCUAAAAAUGGUGCAGAAUAAGGGGUGGGCAAGUCUGGUGUCAGCCGCCGCGGUAAUACCAGCACCCCGAGUGGUCGGGACGAUUAUUGGGCCUAAAGCAUCCGUAGCCGGUCCUGCAAGUCUUCCGUUAAAUCCAGCUGCUCAACAGAUGGGCUGCGGGAGAUACUACAGGGCUAGGAGGCGGGAGAGGCAAGCGGUACUUUAUGGGUAGGGGUAAAAUCCGUUGAUCCAUUGAAGACCACCAGUGGCGAAGGCGGCUUGCCAGAACGCGCUCGACGGUGAGGGAUGAAAGCUGGGGGAGCAAACCGGAUUAGAUACCCGGGUAGUCCCAGCUGUAAACGAUGCAGACUCGGUGAUGAGUUGGCUUAUUGCUAACUCAGUGCCGCAGGGAAGCCGUUAAGUUUGCCGCCUGGGGAGUACGGUCGCAAGACUGAAACUUAAAGGAAUUGGCCGGGGGAGCA